GUAGGGAAUAUUGCGCAAUGGACGAAAGUCUGACGCAGCGACGCCGCGUGAGUGAUGAAGGCCUUAGGGUCGUAAAGCUCUGUUGAAUGGGAAGAAAAAAAUGACGGUACCAUUCGAGGAAGGACCGGCUAACUUCGUGCCAGCAGCCGCGGUAAUACGAGGGGUCCUAGCGUUGUUCGGAAUCAUUGGGCGUAAAGGGUGUGUAGGUGGCCAUGUAAGUCAGGUGUGAAAGCCCCGGGCUCAACCCGGGAAGUGCACUUGAUACUGCGUGGCUCGAGUACCGAAGAGGGUAGUGGAAUUCCAGGUGUAGUGGUGAAAUACGUAGAUAUCUGGAGGAACACCGGUGGCGAAGGCGGCUACCUGGUCGAGUACUGACACUGAGACACGAAAGCAUGGGGAUCAAACAGGAUUAGAAACCCCUGUAGUCC
This 428-nucleotide ribosomal RNA is filed under the name uncultured bacterium. RNAcentral describes it as "bacterial SSU rRNA". It matches the Rfam family "Bacterial small subunit ribosomal RNA", at positions 354 to 796 of the family's 1533-position model. The record is from RNAcentral.